RNAcentral lists this ribosomal RNA (693 nucleotides) under uncultured cyanobacterium. Its description in RNAcentral is "bacterial SSU rRNA". It matches the Rfam family "Bacterial small subunit ribosomal RNA", at positions 66 to 804 of the family's 1533-position model. Lineage: Bacteria; Bacillati; Cyanobacteriota. The record is from RNAcentral.
ACGGGCUCUUCGGAGCUAGUGGCGGACGGGUGAGUAACGCGUGAGAAUCUGGCUUCAGGUUCGGGACAACAGUUGGAAACGGCUGCUAAUACCGGAUGUGCCUAAGGGUGAAAGAUUUAUCACCUGAAGAUGGGCUCGCGUCUGAUUAGCUAGUAGGUGUGGUAAGAGCGCACCUAGGCGACGAUCAGUAGCUGGUCUGAGAGGAUGAUCAGCCACACUGGGACUGAGACACGGCCCAGACUCCUACGGGAGGCAGCAGUGGGGAAUUUUCCGCAAUGGGCGAAAGCCUGACGGAGCAAUACCGCGUGAGGGAGGAAGGCUCUUGGGUUGUAAACCUCUUUUCUCAGGGAAGAAUAAAUGACGGUACCUGAGGAAUAAGCAUCGGCUAACUCCGUGCCAGCAGCCGCGGUAAUACGGAGGAUGCAAGCGUUAUCCGGAAUGAUUGGGCGUAAAGCGUCCGCAGGUGGCAAUGUAAGUCUGCUGUCAAAGCGUCUGGCUCAACCAGAUAAAGGCAGUGGAAACUACAUAGCUAGAGUAAGGUAGGGGUAGAGGGAAUUCCUGGUGUAGCGGUGAAAUGCGUAGAGAUCAGGAAGAACACCGGUGGCGAAAGCGCUCUGCUGGACCUUAACUGACACUGAGGGACGAAAGCUAGGGGAGCGAAUGGGAUUAGAUACCCCAGUAGUCCUAGCCGUA